This 468-nucleotide ribosomal RNA is filed under the name uncultured bacterium. RNAcentral's name for it is "partial 16S ribosomal RNA". It matches the Rfam family "Bacterial small subunit ribosomal RNA", at positions 28 to 507 of the family's 1533-position model. The record is from RNAcentral.
GACGAACGCUGGCGGCGUGCUUAAUACAUGCAAGUCGAACGGAAAGGCCCUGCUUUUGUGGGGUGCUCGAGUGGCGAACGGGUGAGUAACACGUGAGUAACCUGCCCUUGACUUUGGGAUAACUUCAGGAAACUGGGGCUAAUACCGGAUAGGAGCUCCUGCUGCAUGGUGGGGGUUGGAAAGUUUCGGCGGUUGGGGAUGGACUCGCGGCUUAUCAGCUUGUUGGUGGGGUAGUGGCUUACCAAGGCUUUGACGGGUAGCCGGCCUGAGAGGGUGACCGGCAGUAGUGGGAGGGAGAUAAGGGCGAGAGGCCGACGGGAGGCAGAAGGCGGGAGGCGGGCAGAAGGGGGGGGAGUUGGAUGCAGCAACCGCGGGGGCGGGAGGACGGGCUGCGGGUUGGAAACCGGUUUCGACGGGGACGAAGCGGCAGUGACGGUAAGGAGUAAAGAAGAACGGGCUAACUACGGG